GUGCUCACUUCAGCAGUACCUAUAUAAACUUUGGAAUGAUACAGAGGAGACAGGCAUGGUCCCUGUGCAAGGAUAGCAUGCAAAUUUCUGAAGGAUAGCAUGCAAAU
Erinaceus europaeus (western European hedgehog) is the source of this 107-nucleotide non-coding RNA. The record is from Rfam. NCBI's taxonomy places the organism in Eukaryota, Metazoa, Chordata, Mammalia, Eulipotyphla, Erinaceidae.